RNAcentral lists this long non-coding RNA (249 nucleotides) under Homo sapiens (human). Its description in RNAcentral is "HSALNT0170949". Lineage: Eukaryota; Metazoa; Chordata; Mammalia; Primates; Hominidae. The record is from RNAcentral.
UGGAUGGAUGGAUGGAUGGAUGGGUGGAUGGAUAGGUGGGUGGGUGGAUGGUAGACAGAUGGUGGAUGGAUGGAUGGAUGAGUGGGUGGGUGGAUGGUAGACAGAUGGUGGAUGGAUGGAUGGAUAGGUGGGUGGGUGGAUGGUAGAUGGAUGAUGGGUGGAUGGAUGGAUGGUGGAUGGUUGGGUGGAUGGUGGAUGGUAGAUGGAUGGUGGAUGGAUGGGUGGAUGGUUGGGUAGGUGGAUGGUGGA